GACGAACGCUGGCGGCGUGCUUAACACAUGCAAGUCGAACGGUAAGGCCCUUCGGGGUACACGAGUGGCGAACGGGUGAGUAACACGUGGGUGAUCUGCCCUGCACUUCGGGAUAAGCCUGGGAAACUGGGGCUAAUACCGGGUAGGACCACUGCCUGCAUGGGUGGGGGUGGACAGCGUUUGCGGUGUGGGAUGGGCCCGCGGGCGAUCAGCUUGUUGGUGGGGUGAUGGCAUACGAAGGCCACGACGGGUAGCCGGCCUGAGAGGGUGACCGGCCACACUGGGACUGAGAUACGGCCCAGACUCCUACGGGAGGAAGCAGUGGGGAAUAUUGCACAAUGGGCGCAAGCCUGAUGCAGCGACGCCGCGUGAGGGAUGGCGGCCUUCGGGUUGUAAACCUCUUUCAGCACCGACGAAGCGCAAGUGACGGUAGGUGCAGAAGAAGGACCGGCCAACUACGUGCCAGCCGCCGCCGUAA
Molecule: ribosomal RNA, 478 nt
Filed under: uncultured bacterium
Lineage: Bacteria
Description: partial 16S ribosomal RNA
Rfam family: Bacterial small subunit ribosomal RNA
Source: RNAcentral